This 1529-nucleotide ribosomal RNA is filed under the name Neisseria meningitidis. Its description in RNAcentral is "bacterial SSU rRNA". It matches the Rfam family "Bacterial small subunit ribosomal RNA". Lineage: Bacteria; Pseudomonadati; Pseudomonadota; Betaproteobacteria; Neisseriales; Neisseriaceae. The record is from RNAcentral.
AGAGUUUGAUCCUGGCUCAGAUUGAACGCUGGCGGCAUGCUUUACACAUGCAAGUCGGACGGCAGCACAGAGAAGCUUGCUUCUCGGGUGGCGAGUGGCGAACGGGUGAGUAACAUAUCGGAACGUACCGAGUAGUGGGGGAUAACUGAUCGAAAGAUCAGCUAAUACCGCAUACGUCUUGAGAGAGAAAGCAGGGGACCUUUGGGCCUUGCGCUAUUCGAGCGGCCGAUAUCUGAUUAGCUAGUUGGUGGGGUAAAGGCCUACCAAGGCGACGAUCAGUAGCGGGUCUGAGAGGAUGAUCCGCCACACUGGGACUGAGACACGGCCCAGACUCCUACGGGAGGCAGCAGUGGGGAAUUUUGGACAAUGGGCGCAAGCCUGAUCCAGCCAUGCCGCGUGUCUGAAGAAGGCCUUCGGGUUGUAAAGGACUUUUGUCAGGGAAGAAAAGGCUGUUGCUAAUAUCAGCGGCUGAUGACGGUACCUGAAGAAUAAGCACCGGCUAACUACGUGCCAGCAGCCGCGGUAAUACGUAGGGUGCGAGCGUUAAUCGGAAUUACUGGGCGUAAAGCGGGCGCAGACGGUUACUUAAGCAGGAUGUGAAAUCCCCGGGCUCAACCCGGGAACUGCGUUCUGAACUGGGUGACUCGAGUGUGUCAGAGGGAGGUAGAAUUCCACGUGUAGCAGUGAAAUGCGUAGAGAUGUGGAGGAAUACCGAUGGCGAAGGCAGCCUCCUGGGACAACACUGACGUUCAUGCCCGAAAGCGUGGGUAGCAAACAGGAUUAGAUACCCUGGUAGUCCACGCCCUAAACGAUGUCAAUUAGCUGUUGGGCAACUUGAUUGCUUAGUAGCGUAGCUAACGCGUGAAAUUGACCGCCUGGGGAGUACGGUCGCAAGAUUAAAACUCAAAGGAAUUGACGGGGACCCGCACAAGCGGUGGAUGAUGUGGAUUAAUUCGAUGCAACGCGAAGAACCUUACCUGGUCUUGACAUGUACGGAAUCCUCCAGAGACGGAGGAGUGCCUUCGGGAGCCGUAACACAGGUGCUGCAUGGCUGUCGUCAGCUCGUGUCGUGAGAUGUUGGGUUAAGUCCCGCAACGAGCGCAACCCUUGUCAUUAGUUGCCAUCAUUCAGUUGGGCACUCUAAUGAGACUGCCGGUGACAAGCCGGAGGAAGGUGGGGAUGACGUCAAGUCCUCAUGGCCCUUAUGACCAGGGCUUCACACGUCAUACAAUGGUCGGUACAGAGGGUAGCCAAGCCGCGAGGCGGAGCCAAUCUCACAAAACCGAUCGUAGUCCGGAUUGCACUCUGCAACUCGAGUGCAUGAAGUCGGAAUCGCUAGUAAUCGCAGGUCAGCAUACUGCGGUGAAUACGUUCCCGGGUCUUGUACACACCGCCCGUCACACCAUGGGAGUGGGGGAUACCAGAAGUAGGUAGGGUAACCGCAAGGAGCCCGCUUACCACGGUAUGCUUCAUGACUGGGGUGAAGUCGUAACAAGGUAGCCGUAGGGGAACCUGCGGCUGGAUCACCU